GACGAACGCUGGCGGCGUGCUUAACACAUGCAAGUCGAACGGUAAGGCCCUUCGGGGUACACGAGUGGCGAACGGGUGAGUAACACGUGGGUGAUCUGCCCUGCACUUCGGGAUAAGCCUGGGAAACUGGGUCUAAUACCGGAUAGGACCCUGGGAUGCAUGUCCUGGGGUGGAAAGCUUUUGCGGUGUGGGAUGGGCCCGCGGCCUAUCAGCUUGUUGGUGGGGUGAUGGCCUACCAAGGCGACGACGGGUAGCCGGCCUGAGAGGGUGACCGGCCACACUGGGACUGAGACACGGCCCAGACUCCUACGGGAGGCAGCAGUGGGGAAUAUUGGGCAAUGGGCGGAAGCCUGACCCAGCAACACCGCGUGAAGGAAGAAGGCCCUCGGGUUGUAAACUUCUUUUAACAGGGACGAAACAACUGACGGUACCUGUUGAAUAAGCCACGGCUAACUACGUGCCAGCCGCCGCCGUAA
RNAcentral lists this ribosomal RNA (476 nucleotides) under uncultured bacterium. RNAcentral's name for it is "partial 16S ribosomal RNA". It matches the Rfam family "Bacterial small subunit ribosomal RNA", at positions 28 to 523 of the family's 1533-position model. The record is from RNAcentral.